This 94-nucleotide non-coding RNA is filed under the name Gordonia paraffinivorans. RNAcentral's name for it is "Glycine sequence". It matches the Rfam family "Glycine riboswitch aptamer". From Rfam's summary of the family: This family represents the bacterial glycine riboswitch. The record is from RNAcentral. Lineage: Bacteria; Bacillati; Actinomycetota; Actinomycetes; Mycobacteriales; Gordoniaceae.
CGCUACGCCACGGGAGAGAGCCGCCUCACGGCGGCCGCCGAAGGAGCAACACCUCUCCGCCAAACUCUCAGGCACCCGGGACCGUGGUGGUGAC